GAAAUGCGAUAAGUAAUGUGAAUUGCAGAAUUCAGUGAAUCAUCGAAUCUUUGAACGCACCUUGCGCUCCUUGGUAUCCCGAGGAGCAUGCCUGUUUGAGUGUCAUGGAAUUCUCAACUCUAUUUGCUUUUGUGAAUAGAGCUUGGAUUUGGAGGUUUAUUGCUGGUACUUGUGAUCGGCUCCUCUUGAAUGCAUUAGCUCGAACCUUUGCGGAUCAGCUAUCGGUGUGAUAAUUGUCUACGCCGUUGCAGUGAAGCAUAUCAAUGGGCUCGGCUUCCAAUCGUCCUUUACUGGACAAUGACUUUGACCUUUGACCUCAAAUCAGGUAGGAUUACCCGCUGAACUUAAGC
This 350-nucleotide unclassified non-coding RNA is filed under the name plant metagenome. RNAcentral describes it as "partial contains 5.8S ribosomal RNA, internal transcribed spacer 2, and large subunit ribosomal RNA". The stretch from base 1 to 105 matches the Rfam family "5.8S ribosomal RNA", at positions 50 to 154 of the family's 154-position model. The record is from RNAcentral.